Molecule: long non-coding RNA, 297 nt
Filed under: Olea europaea (common olive)
Lineage: Eukaryota; Viridiplantae; Streptophyta; Magnoliopsida; Lamiales; Oleaceae
Description: long non-coding RNA (OEUR_LNC012016)
Source: RNAcentral
GGAAGUUAUAAUCAACAUGGCGGAUAGCAAAACAUUAGGUAACUAAUAUUUCAGGAAAUUUACCUUACCUACAUAAAUGGCAAAAUGUUCGAAAGUGAUCACACCAUUGCCAAUAACCAUCUUGAAUUCAAAAAACUUUCAAGAAACCAACGUCAGAAUCUUCGGAUAAUAUAAAGAGAAAAUAAGGAACAACAUUAUAAAUAAGCUCCGAGGACAUAAAACCCUCUCGAAUAACCGGCAGAAUAUAAAAGGAUGAAAAUCUAAAACUCGCUUUCUAUUAUGACGUUUAUUAUGAAC